CAGUCGCCGCGGGAACACGUAGGUGGCAAGCGUUGUCCGGAAUUAUUGGGCGUAAAGGGCUCGCAGGCGGUUUCUUAAGUCUGAUGUGAAAGCCCCCGGCUCAACCGGGGAGGGUCAUUGGAAACUGGGAAACUUGAGUGCAGAAGAGGAGAGUGGAAUUCCACGCGUAGCGGUGAAAUGCGUAGAGAUGUGGAGGAACACCAGUGGCGAAGGCGACUCUCUGGUCUGUAACUGACGCUGAGGAGCGAAAGCGUGGGGAGCGAACAGGAUUAGAUACCCCUGUAGUCCCUGUCUCUUAUAC
RNAcentral lists this ribosomal RNA (301 nucleotides) under uncultured bacterium. RNAcentral's name for it is "partial 16S ribosomal RNA". It matches the Rfam family "Bacterial small subunit ribosomal RNA", at positions 509 to 807 of the family's 1533-position model. The record is from RNAcentral.